This 93-nucleotide microRNA precursor is filed under the name Marmota monax (woodchuck). The record is from RNAcentral. Lineage: Eukaryota; Metazoa; Chordata; Mammalia; Rodentia; Sciuridae.
ACAUAAAUCACCUGGCGGUCUUGUUCACACAUAGAUUCUGAUUCUGUGGGUGUGGGAUUCUGUUUUUUUAGCAAGUUUCCUGGCGAGGUCGAU